This 1092-nucleotide long non-coding RNA is filed under the name Canis lupus familiaris (dog). Its description in RNAcentral is "lncRNA (ENSCAFG00040019433.1)". The stretch from base 484 to 574 matches the Rfam family "mir-8799 microRNA precursor family". Lineage: Eukaryota; Metazoa; Chordata; Mammalia; Carnivora; Canidae. The record is from RNAcentral.
AUGAAAAAAAAAAAAAAGAAAAAGAGAAAGAAAAAGAAAGGAGAAAAAAAGGGGGUGGGGGAAGGAAACAAAUCAAAAAGCAAAACAAAACAAAAACAAAAACAAAAACAAAAACAAACAAACAAAAAAAGAACCACCGGGGAGUAUCUUCUGAUUCUGUGUACUUUAAGUCCCUUGGCUUCUCCUGGAAGUUGUCCGUCUAGCUGGUGUUCUGGGGGAGGGGCCUGUUGUGCUGAUUUUCAGGUGUUAGCAGUUGGGGGAGCUGCUGUGCCCCUGCCUGGUGCAGGGCUCGGUGGGGGUUGUUUACCCCGUGAGGCCGCAGGAGGAACAGCCCCAGUGGCGGGGCAGCUCUGGAAACCUGGAUUCAGCUCCGGCAGGAACUCCGUCUGCAGGGCCUGGAGGCUCCGGGGCGGGGCCGCUGAUGUGCUCAGCUGGGGCAGGAGCGUCCUUGCUGUCCUGGGCCCUCCCGGCCUCUGCCUGUCCCGGGGGAGGCGGGAUCCUGGGCUGUGUCCCGGCGCCCUGUGCUCCGGAGCCUGCGCUGGUGGAUUCGCGCUCCCGGGCCGCGCAACCCCCUCCGCGGAGCCGCCCCCGAGCCCCUCCGAGCUGCUCCUGGAACCGCGCAGGCCCCUCCGCACGGAGCCUCUUCCUCUGCCCGAGCCCCUCCGAGCUGCUCCCGGGGCCGCGCAGCCCCCUCCGCGGAGCCGCCGCCCGAGCCCCUCCGAGCUGCUCCGGGUCCCGCCGUGCGCGCUGCAGCCCUUAGGGAGCUCGGCGCACUCUCCUGGGUGCGCAGUUGCUGUUACUGUCCCCGGGAGCCCGAGGGCAUCCCCGCCCUCCUGGGUCCUGCUCCAACUCCCCGCGAGCCCCUUUCCGCCCGGGAAGGCUGGUGCAGCUCCUGCUUCUCCGGGACGGGGCUCUCCUGUCCUGGGGACACUCGCCCCGGCCUCAGCCCGGCUCCUCGCGGGGCCCCUCCCCCUUGGAGGCCUUUGUUUCUUUAUUUCUUUUUCCCCGUCCUCCUACCUUGAUAGAAGCGCGAACUCUUCUCACUGGAGCAUUCCAGCUGGUCUCUCUUUAAAUCUCAGGCCGAAUUCAUAG